Molecule: ribosomal RNA, 217 nt
Filed under: Funneliformis coronatus
Lineage: Eukaryota; Fungi; Glomeromycota; Glomeromycetes; Glomerales; Glomeraceae
Description: partial small subunit ribosomal RNA
Rfam family: Eukaryotic small subunit ribosomal RNA (bases 24-217)
Source: RNAcentral
GGAUCAAUAUAACGGUCAUGCCGUUGGUAUGCACUGUUAUAAUUGGUUUCUCACCUUCUAAAGAACCGUAAUGCCAUUAAUUUGGUGUCUUGGGGAAUCAGGACUGUUACUUUGAAAAAAUUAGAGUGUUUAAAGCAGGCUCACGCUUGAAUACAUUAGCAUGGAAUAAUGAAAUAGGACGUUUGAUUCUAUUUUGUUGGUUUCUAGGAUCGACGUA